GCGCUGCCGGCUCAACGCGGGGUACAAACACCCCUCGGAGUGACUGACGGGCUGCGCCAGCCAAUAAAGGACGCGUACAGCAGAGUGACAAGCUACCGGCCCAAUCGCGAGCUACUGUCGUGUCUGGAGAAAGCUCACCAGGUGCUCUGGUUCUCUCCGAAUUGCCCACGUGAUCCCAUCAAAAGAAUGAUGAUCAGAAAGAUCCUUCUGCAUCAGGACUUCUGUGACAGCAGGGCAGCACUUGGCAUGUCUGGCAAACUCCUUGGAACGUUGUUUAGGAGUGCCUGAGAUGGGGUGACUUCAGGACUGUUAUUGUGCUGUCUAGCCUGGGUUUGCAGGAGGAAUGCCCUAAAAUACAAACUGACUGGAAUUUUUCUGCAUAUGUUUUUGUCUGAUACAUAUUUCUGUCACCAGUAGGUGGCUUUCUACCCAUCUGCAUGCGCUGUUACUAUCUCAGACCCCAGCA
Molecule: long non-coding RNA, 466 nt
Filed under: Strigops habroptila (Kakapo)
Lineage: Eukaryota; Metazoa; Chordata; Aves; Psittaciformes; Psittacidae
Description: lncRNA (ENSSHBG00005006081.1)
Source: RNAcentral